ACGGGAGGCAGCAGUGAGGAAUAUUGGUCAAUGGACGGAAGUCUGAACCAGCCAUGCCGCGUGAAGGAAGAAUGCCCUAUGGGUUGUAAACUUCUUUUAUCUGGGAGCAAUAAGCCUCUUGCGAGGGGUGAUGAGAGUACCAGAGGAAUAAGCAUCGGCUAACUCCGUGCCAGCAGCCGCGGUAAUACGGAGGAUGCAAGCGUUAUCCGGAUUUAUUGGGUUUAAAGGGUGCGCAGGCGGCACGUUAAGUCAGCGGUGAAAUGUCGGGGCUCAACCCGGGCACUGCCGUUGAAACUGGCGAGCUUGAGUACGGAUGAAGUCGGCGGAAUGUGAUGUGUAGCGGUGAAAUGCUUAGAUAUGUCACAGAACACCGAUUGCGAAGGCAGCUGACUAAUCCGCAACUGACGCUCAGGCACGAAAGCGUGGGGAUCGAACAGGAUUAGAUACCCUGGUA
This 454-nucleotide ribosomal RNA is filed under the name uncultured Alkalitalea sp. Its description in RNAcentral is "partial 16S ribosomal RNA". It matches the Rfam family "Bacterial small subunit ribosomal RNA", at positions 341 to 792 of the family's 1533-position model. Lineage: Bacteria; Pseudomonadati; Bacteroidota; Bacteroidia; Marinilabiliales; Marinilabiliaceae. The record is from RNAcentral.